GUGUCAGCAGCCGCGGUAAUACGAGGGGUGCAAGCGUUAUUCGGCAUUAUUGGGCGUAAAGGGUGUGUAGACGGCUUUUUAAGUCAACUGUUAAAUUCUUCGGCCUAACCGGAGGUCAGCGGUAGAUACUGAUUAGCUAGAGGGUGGAAGAGAGAAGUGGAAUUCUCGGAGUAGCGGUAAAAUGCGUAGAUCUCGAGAGGAACACCGAUGGCGAAGGCAGCUUCUUGGUCCAUUUCUGACGUUGAGACACGAAAGCGUGGGGAGCAAACAGGAUUAGAUACCCGUGUAGUCC
RNAcentral lists this ribosomal RNA (292 nucleotides) under uncultured bacterium. Its description in RNAcentral is "partial 16S ribosomal RNA". It matches the Rfam family "Bacterial small subunit ribosomal RNA", at positions 505 to 796 of the family's 1533-position model. The record is from RNAcentral.